This 460-nucleotide ribosomal RNA is filed under the name uncultured bacterium. RNAcentral describes it as "partial 16S ribosomal RNA". It matches the Rfam family "Bacterial small subunit ribosomal RNA", at positions 338 to 795 of the family's 1533-position model. The record is from RNAcentral.
CCUACGGGUGGCAGCAGUGAGGAAGAGUGGGCAAUGGAGGAGAGUCGGAACCAGCCAAGUAGCGUGAAGGAUGAAUGCCCUAUGGGUGGUAAACUUCUUUUAUAAAGGAAUAAAACGAGGCACGUGUGCCUUUUUGCAUGUACCUUAUGAAUAAGGAUCGGCUAACUCCGUGCCAGCAGCCGCGGUAAUACGGAGGAUCCGAGCGUUAUCCGGAUUUAUUGGGUUUAAAGGGAGCGUAGAUGGGUUGUUAAGUCAGUUGUGAAAGUUUGCGGCUCAACCGUAAAAUUGCAAUUGAUACUGGCAGUCUUGAGUACAGUUGAGGUAGGCGGAAUUCGUGGUGUAGCGGUGAAAUGCUUAGAUAUCACGAAGAACCCCGAUUGCGAAGGCAGCUUACUAAACUGUAACUGACAUUGAUGCUCGAAAGUGUGGGUAUCAAACAGGAUUAGAUACCCUUGUAGUC